Molecule: ribosomal RNA, 441 nt
Filed under: uncultured bacterium
Lineage: Bacteria
Description: partial 16S ribosomal RNA
Rfam family: Bacterial small subunit ribosomal RNA
Source: RNAcentral
CCUACGGGAGGCAGCAGUGGGGAAUAUUGGGCAAUGGACGCAAGUCUGACCCAGCAACGCCGCGUGAAGGAAGAAGGCCUUCGGGUUGUUAACUUCUUUUAAGGGGGAAGAGCAGAAGACGGUACACCUUGAAUAAGCCACGGCUAACUACGUGCCAGCAGCCGCGGUAAUACGUAGGUGGCAAGCGUUAUCCGGAUUUAUUGGGUUUAAAGGGUGCGCAGGCGGAAGAUCAAGUCAGCGGUAAAAUUGAGAGGCUCAACCUCUUCGAGCCGUUGAAACUGGUUUUCUUGAGUGAGUGAGAAGUAUGCGGAAUGCGUGGUGUAGCGGUGAAAUGCAUAGAUAUCACGCAGAACUCCGAUUGCGAAGGCAGCAUACCGGCGCUCAACUGACGCUCAUGCACGAAAGUGUGGGUAUCGAACAGGAUUAGAUACCCGGGUAGUC